UCGUAACAAGGUUUCCGUAGGUGAACCUGCGGAAGGAUCAUUAACGAAGAACUUGCCUUCUUCAUACACCUGUGAACCGUCGUCCGAGUGUCAUGCUCGGACGCUAUACAUAACUCUAGUGCUGUCAUUGAAUGUCAUUGUUUUCGAACACAAAUAUAACUUUCAGCAACGGAUCUCUUGGCUCUCGCAUCGAUGAAGAACGCAGCGAAAUGCGAUAAGUAAUGUGAAUUGCAGAAUUCAGUGAAUCAUCGAAUCUUUGAACGCACCUUGCGCUCUCUGGUACCCCGGAGAGCAUGCCUGUUUGAGCGCCUUUUCAGCGUUGUGCGCUUCCGCUUCGGCGGAGCGCGCAGAGUUGGGCAUUGCCGAGCGUCCGCGCGCGGCUGGCCCUGAAUGCAUGAGCGACCGUCCGCUUGAGCUAACGUGAUAAGAUCGUCGUUAGUGAAGGCGCGUGCAGCCGCUUCAAAUCGUCUUCGGACAACACCAUCAUGCUAGGCAUCAAAUCAGGUAGGACUACCCGCUGAACUUAAGCAUAUCAAUA
This 538-nucleotide small RNA is filed under the name Calocera cf. guepinioides. Its description in RNAcentral is "eukaryotic LSU rRNA". The stretch from base 158 to 311 matches the Rfam family "5.8S ribosomal RNA". The record is from RNAcentral. Lineage: Eukaryota; Fungi; Basidiomycota; Dacrymycetes; Dacrymycetales; Dacrymycetaceae.